AUGAAUAUUUCAGAAUUCUACGGACUUCACAUGUGAUUCACCUCAGUUCCAUGUUAGCAUCCUAUCAAGAUGCCAAUCUCCAAGAUGUCAAUGAUUUCAGAUUUUAGUCUAAAGAAAACUCUUCAACCAGCCACACAGAAUUUUGAGAAUGAAACAGUAAGCCACGGAAAUGUUAUCUUGAGACAGAACUCGCAAAACCAGUAUGCAGGACGAGAACUUCAGAAAACCUAAACUAUUACCUUGUUUUCCUGUAAUAUCACCAGUAUGGUUUGGUCAGGAACCCUCCCUAACAAUGAGUGCUAGUUCUCCUUUAAUCCCUUCCUUUCCAGCUCUUCGCUGUUGUUCCUCAAUGUCCAUUUCUACCACUUCUGUUCCCGUUAUUAGCUUCAGCUUCCCAAACCGGACUGUCACACUAUGAGCGUUCUGCCACUGAAAGUUAUGGACAGCGAACCUCCUGUCCAAGUCACUGACACUGACCAAAACUUAGUCACACAAGAGGUUCCAUGGAAAUUGAUGGAACCCUAUGGAUUAGUAGAAAUAAUAUCGAAUCUUUUAGAGAAGGUACUUAUUAUCGACAGCCGCUCAUUUCUGGAGUUUAACACCUGCCAUAUACGUCACUCAGUCAACGUCUGUUGCUCUAAGCUGGUGAAAAGACGUUUACAGCAUGAUAAGGUUCACAUAAAAGAUUUGCUGGCUCAAACAUGCCACAUUGAUGCUGAUGAGAAUGCCGAAAUUAUCGUCUAUGACCAAUGCACUGAGGAACCAGCCUAUUUGACGGGAGACAAUUUCUUGGUUGUAUUACUGCAAAAACUUUCUUCUGCCUACAAAAGUGUCACACUUCUAAAAGGUGGAUUUUUAGUGUUCCAAGCUAUGCAUCCUUCUCUUUGUGAGAGUAAAUCCAACAAGUGUACUUCCCUGACAUCUCUAUCACAGCCUUGCCUGCCAAUUAGCAAUGUAGGACCAACACGCAUUCUUCAUUUUCUCUAUUUAGGCUCACAGAGGGAUGCUAUGUCCCAAGAUAUAAUACAGGUUAAUGGCAUAUCUUACAUUCUGAACGUGACCACAACAUGUAAGCAACCCGCAUUCAUUCAAGAGAGUCACUUUCUUCGCAUUCCAAUUAACGAUAAUUACUUUGAUAAGAUGCUACCAUACUUCCACGAUGCAUUCCAAUUCCUUGACAAAGUACGAGAGGCUAAUGGUUGUGUACUAAUCCACUGCCUAGCUGGUAUUUCUCGGUCACCGACGCUGGCAAUAGCCUAUGUCAUGAGGCAUCUAAAAAUGUCUUCAGAUGAUGCAUACAGAUAUGUUAAGGCCAAGCGUCCCACCAUUUCACCAAACUUUAACUUUUUAGGACAAUUACUAGAAUAUGAAAAACAGUUAAGAGAAGAUCAAGAGAAAGCUAAGAAGCUUGCAGAAACAUCAGGAAAAAUUAUUGAAGUGUCUCGUGGAGGGCAGUUUGCUAUGGAUUUAUGCAGCAGCCCCGUCUCACCAGUUCCGAAAGUGCAUCGAACUUGUGGUAGCAUGACCUCAGCUCUGUGUUUGCCAGUGACCCGACAGUCUCAGAUAACAACAACAGCAACAACAACAGCAGCUUCAUCAUCUGAAGUCCUUACAUCUACUCUCGCUCCUACAUCUGUUGACGAAGCUGAUUCUAUGCACAAAACAGCAUCUACUAGUGGCCCCACAGUCCCCUGUUCGGAGCCUCCAAGCAUAUCUUGCACUAGCACCAUUUCCACUACUACUACUACUACUAGUACUACAACAGUUACUGCUACUUCUACCAUCACCAACACCUCCAUCAAAAGUUGUUCAAAGUUAACCUUAUCCCCUCCUUCACGACCACAAACAUUCACAAGCCUGCCUUUCAAGACAACUCUUUCUCCGACCCCUAUAACAUCACCCCUUAUACAGAAGCUGGCACUCUCUCCUACUGCUGCUCUGGCGAAACUGAAUUUCAGUCAGAAUAGUGUUGAAAAUAUGGAAACACUGGAAACGGUAACUGUUGAAAAUAUUCUUCAGCUACACAAAUUUCCAACUACCUCAUUGGACAAACUUAGUUUUACGCCUUGCUUUGCCAAGGACGAAAUAGACAAUGGCAGUGGCAGCAAUGUCCUUAAUAAGGACAGCAAUAUCAGCGAUAGCGGGACAACAACCCCUAUCACCACCCCCACCACCACCACCACCACCACCACCACCACUUCUCUAACUUCUCUUGCCACAACUUGCAUGACAGUGCGCCCACGUAACACUGCUGUCAAGAGACCCAAGUCCUCAUCUCUCUCCUCUUCAUCUUGUUCGUCGACAUCUACAAGUGAUGGCAUUGAUAGCAAAUUCAUUGAACCCCUUUCACCCAGCUCAACAAGCAGCAGCUCAACAUCCAGCAGCUCAACAUCCAGCUCUGCGGUGACUUCUCCCACAACUGCUAACUCUUCAAAGGUUAUACUUCGCUCAAGAGAGAAUCGCGCCAAACGGCCCCUCGUUCGCCCUAACAGCAUUGCAUUCUCAACUUAUCCGACCUUUGAUUUGGGUUCUGAUUGCCAGGAGUCUCCAGGGUCGAGCAGUACAACUUCACAAGAUGAUACGUCUGAAGCGUAUUUAUUGCACAACGGCAAGAAAUCGAAACCUUCAGAAUCAGGAGGCCAUUGGCCGUACGGUCGCUAUUCUGAGAGGCACGUAUACAAACAGAUUGCUGCCGCCAUGGAAAGUGCCAUGGUUCGAACACACGUGUUUGAAAAUUCCCGAAAAUCUCGUAGUCUGGAUGAUAUCUUGACUUCUGAAGAAGAUCCGGCUGUAUUGGAAUGUCCCUGCUCUCCGCUCGACAAACUACCUCGACGAUGUGGGGCAAGCGCAGACAUUUAUUCUAAAGGAAUCUUUGAAAACUUAACAUGUCAUAUCCGCGGUUCAUCCGAUUCCUACCAAUCAAGCAGCAGCAUUUCUUCAAGUGGCAGUCACAGUUCAUUACACGGAAGUUUAGAGAUCAUUCAGUACCACACGUCUGGAGAUCUUCCUAAUUUUUUUGACACAUACAUGCAAAUGGUAAGUUGAUGCAAUUACUGCUGUUAUCAGCUUAUUCAUCAUCACCACCACCACCACCACCACCACCACUGCUGCCACCGCCGCCGCCGUUGUUGUUGCCAUCAUUGCCAUUGUUAUUAUCAGCAUCAUCAUCAUCAUAGCCAUCUUCAUAGUCAUCUUCAUUGCUGCUGUCGGUGAAACCCAGCACCACCGCCCUCCCAUUUUCUGCCACUAUCCCUACCCCCACCCUGCACAGUGGCAGACUCAUUACUGCUCUUCAGUUGCCGUCUCCGUUUUGAAUUUACUUGUUUUAUUUAUUUAUUUUUUUUUUAUUGUUUUGGUGUUUUAGAAUUUAUAUUUCAAUGUGAAUAAUCCUGCCAGAGCACUGUGAUUAUUAUUAUUAUUAUUAUAAUUAUCAUCGUUAUCAUUAUCAUCAUCAUUAUCAAUCAUUAUUAUUAUUAUCAUUAUUAUUAAUAUCAUUAUUAUUAUUGUGUUUGUGUCUUAUGUAAUACAAUUCAAAAAAUAUAUAUUCAUACUGGAAUAUUCAAAGCAUAAAAAUUGUUUCUGUGUGUGUGUGUGUGUGAGUGAAUUCUUGGCAAAUAUGACAAAUUAUAUUCAUUGCAUUUGAAUUUGUCAAAAGCAUCGCAUUUGAAAUGUUGGUAAUGGCUUUAUCGACUGACAUUCAAGGAAUAAAAAUGCAAGGGUGCUUUUCGUUUCUGUAACCAAUAUAACGUAUACCCCUAACCCUUUAGCUUCCACCAGUUAUCUUCAUUAACAAAGAAUAAACAAGAUAUUUUGGUCGCUGGAUUCUGUGAUGUUCAACAAUUUAAAAUUUUGCAUUGAACUGGGUUUGUAAGAGUUACUUUCCCUUUGUUGACUCUCUCUCUCUCUCUCUCCCCUACUUGUUUGGCCUCUGUUCCUUGUCUUCCUCGAAAUAUGGUGCAACUUUUUAUCAAACAACACUUUAUUGAACCUCGAAACAACUUCUUGUGAAUAUAUUACCUUGUAGCAUAGGUUGUGGUGCCUCAGUGCAGCAAUGGCGACCCAUGUGCCAAAUGUAUUGUGCCAGCCUCCAGUGCUCUUGUGAAUCUGUGGUGAAUUGUUUUUUUUGCCAUGUCUAUUAUUUUGCAGCCAUUCAUAAAACAUUCCAACAUUGUAUUGGGAAUCGUGGUCAUUGACAUCUCCUGUCUUCCACACCGUUGUGCCUUAAUCCAUAUGGUUGCAAAAUAACCUUCACAUCUGCACAUUUUUUCACACAUGAUGCAAUUUCGAACCAUUCACACACACACACACUGAUAGCAAAUUAACUUCACACACACACAUACACACGUUUGUAAUAUCAAUAAACCCAUUGGCUACCCUAUACAAAUGUUAAAAGCUGGCUAAAUGUUGUUUUUUUUUUAAUUAAAUUUUUGCGGAUGAAAAUUUCUAUUUUUAUUUUAUAUUAAAAAUUAUUCUAUAUUUAAAAUUGUUACCAUUUGUUGCACUUGUUUAAAAUUGUCCCAUAGAAAAUAAAUAUCGACAAAAUAAUACACUUAAAAAUAAAUAUCUGCAAUCUGUAACACAUCUUUUAUAUAUAAAAAAAAAAUAUUCUAUUUUUGAAAUUCACUUUUAGCUACAAUUAUCUUACUCUGUAAUAUAUUUACAAAAUUAUUCCAUGAAAAGUCACUUUGAGGAAAAGUUGUUUUGACAAAAAGUCAUUUGAUAAAAAUUUGCUUAAAAAGAAAUUUGAGAAAAGUUGUUUGAUAAAUGAUUUUUUAUCUUUUAUGAGAAGUCUAAUUUCAUUUAGUGUUCACUGCUCCUAAGAUUUUUACACCUUGUCAGCCUGCAUUGAUCACUUUAAUCCUUGGUUACCAUAUUUCUUUUGAAGCACUUUGCCUUUGUUUCAAUUAGUUUUAUCAGUAAUGACAAGUAUUUUUGCUCUCAUUAAGCUGAUUUUGGAAUAUCAACAUUAAAUUUUGAUUGAACAUUUUCAUUUAGCUCACUUUAAAUAUGUCUCAUAGAACCAACAGCUGUUUCAAGAAGGUUGGUAUUAAAAGGGUUAAAACGUUUGCCAAGUUUUUUAGUGAUAUUUUUAUAAUAUUUAUAUCUCAUGUGGAACAGAAAUUUAUGAGGAAUUAUAGUGUCUGUAUGUAUGUGUCUUUUAUUUUCUCUGAUUUUAAAUCUAUUUCUCCCAGGGUGAAGGAAUGUUUUUUACCUGAAAUACUUUAACCUAAAAUUUUUGGAUCAGCUAUUUUUAUAAUUUUCUCUCUUUGUAAUUCAUGUAUUAUUUAUUAACAAAUUUUCACUAAUAAUAGAUUAUUUUAUAACUAAUAGUGUGUGUAUCUUGUGCAAGACACUUUAUUUCACAUUGCUCCUAUUCACUCAGCCGUAGAAAUGAGUUGCGAUGUCACUGGUGCCAAGUUGUAUCGGCCUCUUUGUUUUUCCCUUGGAUAACACCAGUGGCAUGGAAAGGAGAGGCUGGUAUGUGUGGGCGACUGCUGGUCUUCUAUAAACAACCUUACCUGGGCUUGUGCCUCGGAGGGUAACUUUCUAGGUGCAAUCCCAUGGUCAUUCAUGACUGAAAAGGGUCUUUUUACCCUUUAUAUAAAAUCAGUUGUUUAUAAGUCGGAAAAAAGGCUCAGUCUAAAAAUGUUUUGAGCAAUAAUAUUUUAUGUUGUCGUUGGUUAUGACUGGUCAGAAAGCUGGCAUUGUAGGUUCAACUGUUGAGAGUGAAGCGUCUUGGUCAGAGGAAUUUGGUUCAUUGUCUGCUUCUUCAAUUGAGUUAGCCAUCUGAAUGUUCUAAGGAAAGUUUGGCUUUAAUUAGCGAGUGUCCUCAAGUUGUGAUUGUUGCUCAUAAAUUUGAUUUCAAUUGUCACAUCUCUCAGUUGUUAUUCCAAGCUGGAGUCAUAUUUUUUAAAAUCAUUUUUGAAAAAUUAAUUUUUGCUAUUUUUCUGUGUAGUUGAUGGUGGAGGUGUCCUGUAUAACCAUAUUAUAUCUGUAGAUGAGCCGCUAUUAAAAUAUAUACUUGAUAGUCAAUGUCAUCUUACCGGAGAAUAUUGAAUUUAAUCAUCAAUUUGUAAAUAUAUAUAUAUAUGUGCCUUAUCAUUUUCAAGUUUAACCAUCAUUAAAAUUAUAGUGUAAUCUUUUGCUGAAAUAUUCCACACGGUGCCAAAUCCCAAACUGAAAUAUGGCUAUUCCCCAGGGUAUAGGUUCUGAUUUUAUAUUUUGAAUUUUUGCUAAUGAUGGCGGUAUGUUAUUAAAAUAUAUCAAGGAAUGCAAUUAACC
Molecule: RNA transcript, 6282 nt
Organism: Octopus sinensis (East Asian common octopus)
Lineage: Eukaryota; Metazoa; Mollusca; Cephalopoda; Octopoda; Octopodidae
Gene name: tyrosine-protein phosphatase vhp-1-like
Exons: 9
Source: RefSeq, a predicted model, not a curated record